Molecule: ribosomal RNA, 458 nt
Filed under: uncultured bacterium
Lineage: Bacteria
Description: partial 16S ribosomal RNA
Rfam family: Bacterial small subunit ribosomal RNA
Source: RNAcentral
CCUACGGGGUGCUGCAGUGGGGAAUAUUGCACAAUGGGGGAAACCCUGAUGCAGCGACGCCGCGUGAGUGAAGAAGUAAUUCGUUACGUAAAGCUCUAUCAGCAGGGAAGAAACACUGACCUUACGGUCAGCAGACGGUACCUGAGUAGGAAGCUCCGGCUAACUACGUGCCAGCAGCCGCGGUAAUACGUAGGGGGCAAGCGUUAUCCGGAUUUACUGGGUGUAUAGGGGGCGUAGACGGUGCGCCAAGUCUGGAGUGAAAUGCCGCAGCUUAACUGCGGAACUGCUUUGGAAACUGGCGAACUAGAGUGCGGGAGGGGUAAGCGGAAUUCCUGGUGUAGCGGUGAAAUGCGUAGAUAUUAGGAGGAACACCGGUGGCGAAGGCGGCUUACUGGACCGUAACUGACGUUGAGGCUCGAAAGCGUGGGGAGCAAACAGGAUUAGAUACCCUAGUAGUC